GGCCACUGCACUUAUGCACUUGUUUUACUUGUGUCUCCUUAGCCCUGUCAUUCUCCAAUCCAAACAUCUCAAGUUUCCUCAUUGGUUUCCACAAAAAUGCCAUUCACAAUCUGGGCAAAGUAUCAUUUCUCCCAUGCAUAGCACAACAAACUUACAAAUUCAUAUAAGAUCUUCCUAUUAGCUCUGGUCUUGUUGCCACCCCACCUCCCAACACUUCUCUCAACAUUUCUCAUUCUCUUUAGCCAAGAAGAAUCUGGUGUCUCAUCUGUCCCUGCUUCUCCCUUCUCUCUAUCUGUUCUCCAUUCUUAUCCCCUUCCAUGCGUCCAAAUUCUUCCACCUUACAUAUAAAAAGCAAUUCACUUGCCAUGAUUCCUUUCCCCAAGCCCCAAACUUUCUACCACGUGCCCAGCAGACAAAAGAACUAUUUAAUGUAAUUCAUCAUCUUUAGAAGAAAAUUGUGAUUAUAAAUGGCAUACUUUUUCCAAUGUAUGUAAUAUUUCUGGAAAUUGAAUAAAAGUAUCUCAAAACCCCC
Homo sapiens (human) is the source of this 532-nucleotide long non-coding RNA. The record is from Ensembl. NCBI's taxonomy places the organism in Eukaryota, Metazoa, Chordata, Mammalia, Primates, Hominidae.